AAGGAUCAUUAUCGAGUUUUGACUGGGUUGUAGCUGGCCUUCCGAGGCAUGUGCACGCCCUGCUCAUCCACUCUACACCUGUGCACUUACUGUGGGUUUUACGGGUCGUGAAAUUGGCUCGUUCAUUCGGGCUUGUUGAGCGCACUUGUUGCCUGCGUUUAUCACAAACUCCAUAAAGUAUUAGAAUGUGUAUUGCGAUGUAACGCAUCUAUAUACAACUUUCAGCAACGGAUCUCUUGGCUCUCGCAUCGAUGAAGAACGCAGCGAAAUGCGAUAAGUAAUGUGAAUUGCAGAAUUCAGUGAAUCAUCGAAUCUUUGAACGCACCUUGCGCUCCUUGGUAUUCCGAGGAGCAUGCCUGUUUGAGUGUCAUGAAAUCUUCAAUCUACAAGCUUCUUAUGGGAGUUUGUAGGCUUGGACUUGGAGGCUUGUCGGUCCUUUACAGGUCGGCUCCUCUCAAAUGCAUUAGCUUGGUUCCUUGCGGAUCGGCUUGUCGGUGUGAUAAUGUCUACGCCGGGACCGUGAAGCGUGUUUGGGCGAGCUUCUAACCGUCUCGUUACGGAGACAACUUUAUGACCUCUGACCUCAAAUCAGGUAGGACUACCCGCUGAACUUAA
This 615-nucleotide ribosomal RNA is filed under the name Ganoderma lobatum. RNAcentral describes it as "eukaryotic LSU rRNA". The stretch from base 217 to 370 matches the Rfam family "5.8S ribosomal RNA". The record is from RNAcentral. Lineage: Eukaryota; Fungi; Basidiomycota; Agaricomycetes; Polyporales; Polyporaceae.